AGUGAACGCUGGCGGUAGGCCUAACACAUGCAAGUCGAACGGCAGCACAGUAAGAGCUUGCUCUUACGGGUGGCGAGUGGCGGACGGGUGAGGGAUACAUCGGAAUCUACUUUUUCGUGGGGGAUAACGUAGGGAAACUUACGCUAAUACCGCAUACGACCUACGGGUGAAAGCAGGGGAUCUUCGGACCUUGCGCGAUUGAAUGAGCCGAUGUCGGAUUAGCUAGUUGGCGGGGUAAAGGCCCACCAAGGCGACGAUCCGUAGCUGGUCUGAGAGGAUGAUCAGCCACACUGGAACUGAGACACGGUCCAGACUCCUACGGGAGGCAGCAGUGGGGAAUAUUGGACAAUGGGCGCAAGCCUGAUCCAGCUAUACCGCGUGGGUGAAGAAGGCCUUCGGGUUGUAAAGCCCUUUUGUUGGGAAAGAAAAGCAGCAGGUUAAUACCCCGCUGUUCUGACGGUACCCAAAGAAUAAGCACCGGCUAACUUCGUG
Molecule: ribosomal RNA, 492 nt
Filed under: uncultured bacterium
Lineage: Bacteria
Description: partial 16S ribosomal RNA
Rfam family: Bacterial small subunit ribosomal RNA
Source: RNAcentral